RNAcentral lists this ribosomal RNA (253 nucleotides) under uncultured bacterium. RNAcentral describes it as "partial 16S ribosomal RNA". It matches the Rfam family "Bacterial small subunit ribosomal RNA", at positions 524 to 776 of the family's 1533-position model. The record is from RNAcentral.
UACGUAGGGUGCAAGCGUUGUCCGGAAUUACUGGGCGUAAAGAGUUCGUAGGCGGUUUGUCGCGUCGUUUGUGAAAACCAGCAGCUCAACUGCUGGCUUGCAGGCGAUACGGGCAAACUUGAGUACUGCAGGGGAGACUGGAAUUCCUGGUGUAGCGGUGAAAUGCGCAGAUAUCAGGAGGAACACCGGUGGCGAAGGCGGGUCUCUGGGCAGUAACUGACGCUGAGGAACGAAAGCGUGGGUAGCGAACAGG